RNAcentral lists this ribosomal RNA (484 nucleotides) under uncultured bacterium. Its description in RNAcentral is "partial 16S ribosomal RNA". It matches the Rfam family "Bacterial small subunit ribosomal RNA", at positions 30 to 507 of the family's 1533-position model. The record is from RNAcentral.
AUUGAACGCUGGCGGCAGGCCUAACACAUGCAAGUCGAGCGGAUGAAGGGAGCUUGCUCCUGGAUUCAGCGGCGGACGGGUGAGUAAUGCCUAGGAAUCUGCCUGGCAGUGGGGGAUAACGUCCGGAAACGGGCGCUAAUACCGCAUACGUCCUGCGGGAGAAAGUGGGGGAUCUUCGGACCUCGCGCUAUCAGAUGAGCCUAGGUCGGAUUAGCUAGUUGGUGGGGUAAAGGCCUACCAAGGCGACGAUCCUUAACUGGUCUGAGAGGAUGAUCAGUCACACUGGAACUGAGACACGGUCCAGACUCCUACGGGAGGCAGCAGUGGGGAAUAUUGGACAAUGGGCGAAAGCCUGAUCCAGCCAUGCCGCGUGUGUGAAGAAGGUCUUCGGAUUGUAAAGCACUUUAAGUUGGGAGGAAGGGCAGUAAGUUAAUACCUUGCUGUUUUGACGUUACCAACAGAAUAAGCACCGGCUAACUUCGUG